This 253-nucleotide ribosomal RNA is filed under the name uncultured bacterium. Its description in RNAcentral is "partial 16S ribosomal RNA". It matches the Rfam family "Bacterial small subunit ribosomal RNA", at positions 524 to 776 of the family's 1533-position model. The record is from RNAcentral.
UACGGAGGGUGCAAGCGUUAUCCGGAUUCACUGGGUUUAAAGGGUGCGUAGGUGGGUAGGUAAGUCAGUGGUGAAAUCCCCGAGCUUAACUUGGGAACUGCCGUUGAUACUAUCUAUCUUGAAUAUCGCGUAGGUAAGCGGAAUAUGUCAUGUAGCGGUGAAAUGCUUAGAUAUGACAUAGGACACCAAUUGCGAAGGCAGCUUACUUCACGAUUAUUGACACUGAGGCACGAAAGCGUGGGGAGCAAACAGG